This is a long non-coding RNA of Mauremys mutica (yellowpond turtle), 1212 nucleotides long. RefSeq lists it as uncharacterized. The record is from RefSeq and is a predicted model, not a curated record. NCBI's taxonomy places the organism in Eukaryota, Metazoa, Chordata, Testudines, Geoemydidae. The transcript has 3 exons.
UGGCUCUUUGAAGGGUAAGGAAAUGAGAAAAGAACUUGUAAUUUCAUCUGGAAAUCCCCAGCAAAUGAUGAUCUGACAUCAGUGCUUAAACAGCUCAUUUGGCAUUUUCUCCAGCAGAGUCAAAAAUGAAAAAUGGAAAUGAAUUCUGAGGAGUGGUCUGAACAAGGCAAAGGAGAUAUGAGAAACAGCUGUGCAGAGGUCAUUCCAUGCAUAAGGAGCUGCAGGGAAUAAGGCUCUGAGAUGUGCAUAAGAGAAAACAAAAUGGGUAUUGAGGCUGGUAUCCCUGGCAUAUCUUCAUGUGAGCCAAUGGUCCAGUACUUAAAAAAUGCAUCAGGAAUCUUAGUUUAUAUCUUCAUCGCUGUUGCCUUGACUGACUGGAGGACUUUGGGAAAAUCACCAACUCUCAUUGCCUCAUUUUACCUAUUAGUGAAAUGGAAAUAUUAAUACCUUAAUUCACUGGGUCUUUAUUGAUAUUAAAGAUUAAAACCUCAAAAGACCUUUAAGAUUUCCAAUUCAAAGGUGCUAGAAGUGCCAAUUCAUCCAGAUGGGUGAGCCACAUGGGAAAAGAUGUUUAAACAUUGUAUCCUUCUAAUAUUUUAUUCAUCGUUAUCAAUUUACCUGGUGUGUUUAUGCUUCAUACCCACUGUUACACUGUAUGGAAUCUGGGGAACACUUUAGGAUAUUAUGAAUAUUGUAAAAUCGCAAUGAGUUAUGCCAGAUAUGUUGUGUAAGAUAUCUGUGAAAAUGUUAUAAUUUGCCAAAUAUGAUGAUCCUGUUUAUAUGUUCAUAUCACCUUUGUAUUGGGUAUGUCUGUAUUACAAAACUUGUUCUGUGCUUCUUAGUGACACCCCCAGACAGCUUGGUAUCAGCACUCCUAGCCUGCUUGAUGUCCCAUUAAGGACCAUCAGCUAUACAAUUGACCCACUGAGAGAAGGCAAGGUUAUGUGCCUUAUGACUCAGCAAGGCAUGCACGGACAUGCUUAUGGACAGAAAAGGCUUCCAAACCAUGUGCUGGGCAACUUGUGUUUGAAACAAAGGAAGCACAAGCUGCAAGGCAAAAAACUGUAAAAAGCAGCUGCAUCUUCACCAUUUUGUCUUUGUUCCUGCUUCGUACCUCUGGAGGAACUUUGCUACAAACUGAAGCACUGAAAGGACUGAAUGCCCCAUCCAAGCUGUGGAUGUCGUCCAGAGGGACUUUCAAGCCAGCAAACU